Molecule: ribosomal RNA, 493 nt
Filed under: uncultured bacterium
Lineage: Bacteria
Description: partial 16S ribosomal RNA
Rfam family: Bacterial small subunit ribosomal RNA
Source: RNAcentral
CGAACGCUGGCGGCGUGCCUAAUACAUGCAAGUAGAACGCUGAAGGAGGAGCUUGCUUCUCUGGAUGAGUUGCGAACGGGUGAGUAACGCGUAGGUAACCUGCCUGGUAGCGGGGGAUAACUAUUGGAAACGAUAGCUAAUACCGCAUAAUAGUAGAUGUUGCAUAACAUUUGCUUAAAAGGUGCAAUUGCAUCACUACCAGAUGGACCUGCGUUGUAUUAGCUAGUUGGUGGGGUAACGGCUCACCAAGGCGACGAUACAUAGCCGACCUGAGAGGGUGAUCGGCCACACUGGGACUGAGACACGGCCCAGACUCCUACGGGAGGCAGCAGUAGGGAAUCUUCGGCAAUGGACGGAAGUCUGACCGAGCAACGCCGCGUGAGUGAAGAAGGUUUUCGGAUCGUAAAGCUCUGUUGUAAGAGAAGAACGAGUGUGAGAGUGGAAAGUUCACACUGUGACGGUAUCUUACCAGAAAGGGACGGCUAACUACGUG